CCUACGGGUGGCAGCAGUGGGGAAUAUUGGACAAUGGGGGCAACCCUGAUCCAGCCAUGCCGCGUGUGUGAAGAAGGCCCGCGGGUUGUAAAGCACUUUCAGUGAGGAAGAACGCCUGGUGGUUAAUACCCAUCAGGAAAGACAUCACUCACAGAAGAAGCACCGGCUAACUCCGUGCCAGCAGCCGCGGUAAUACGGAGGGUGCGAGCGUUAAUCGGAAUUACUGGGCGUAAAGCGCGCGUAGGUGGCUUGAUAAGCCGGUUGUGAAAGCCCCGGGCUCAACCUGGGAACGGCAUCCGGAACUGUCAAGCUAGAGUGCAGGAGAGGAAGGUAGAAUUCCCGGUGUAGCGGUGAAAUGCGUAGAGAUCGGGAGGAAUACCAGUGGCGAAGGCGGCCUUCUGGACUGACACUGACACUGAGGUGCGAAAGCGUGGGUAGCAAACAGGAUUAGAUACCCGGGUAGUC
This 465-nucleotide ribosomal RNA is filed under the name Vreelandella stevensii. Its description in RNAcentral is "partial 16S ribosomal RNA". It matches the Rfam family "Bacterial small subunit ribosomal RNA", at positions 338 to 795 of the family's 1533-position model. Lineage: Bacteria; Pseudomonadati; Pseudomonadota; Gammaproteobacteria; Oceanospirillales; Halomonadaceae. The record is from RNAcentral.